UUUUUAAGGCUAAAUAAUACUCCCUUGGCUAAAUAAUAAUCCAGCCAUCUGUUGAUGGACACUUGGGUUGCUUCUACCAUUUGGCUAUUGUGAAUAAUGCUGCUGGAUGUGCAGAUACUUCUUUAAGUCCGUGCUUUCAGUUCUUUUGGAUAUAUACCCAGAAGUGGAAUUGCCUGAUCAUAUGAUAAUUCUGUAUUGUAAUUCUGUUAAUUUUGCUGAGGAACCUGCAUACUGUUUUCCACAGAGGCUGCAUCAUUUUACAUUCGCAGCGCAAUUUCUCCACAUCCUUGCCAAUACUUGUAAUUUUCUGUCUUUUGUUUUUUUGAUUUUUUGCCGAUAGUCAUCUUAAUGAGUGUGAAGUGGUUUCGAUUGGCAUUUCCCUAGUAAAUGGUGAUGUUGAGCAUCUUUUCAUGUGCUUAUUGGGCAUUUGUUUAUCUUUUUUUGGAGAAAUGUGUAUUUCAAUUAUUUGCCCAUUUUUAAUCGGGCUUUUUUUUUGUUUUUUGUUUUUUUUGCUAUGGGAAUUCUUUGUAUGUUCUGGAUAUCAAUUUGGUGUCAUAUUCAAUAAAUCAUUGCCAAAUCCAGUAUUAUGAAGCUUUUCCCUUAUAUUUUCUUCUAAGAGUUUUAUAGUAUUAGCUCUUACAUUUAGGUCUUCAGUCCAUUUUGGGUUAGUUUUUAAGUAACUUAGUGUAAAGUAAGGGUCCAACUUCAUUUUUGUUGUAGUGAAUAUCCAGUUUUCCCAACACACUUCGUUGAAAAGACUGUCUUUUCCCCUUUGAAUGUUGUUGGCACUCUAGUUGAAAAUCAUUUCAUUAUGUAUGUGAGGGGUUAUUUCUGGCCUCUAUUCUGUUCUACUGGUUCAUAUGUCUCUUUUCUUGGCAGUAUCACACUGUUUUGAUUACCACAGCUUUGUAAUGAGUUUCGAAAUCAGGAUAUGUGAGUCUGCCACCUUUGUUCUUUUUUUUCUAGACUGUUUAGGCUGUUUGAGGUUCAACUUUUUUUUUAAGUGAACUAAACUAUGCUUUAUGUUAUAAAUCAUAUUUUUAAGAAAGUAUUUUAAAUUUUAUUCAGAUGUUUGCAAGUAUGUAUUUAGUAAUCUAUACACUAAAUGUUCCUUUGUCAUUAUUCUAAUUUAUCCAAAAAGCACUACAGCACCUCAUUUUAAAAGCAAUAGAAUUUUUUUGUAUCAGUUUAAUCAUGAUACAUACACGGGCAAACUUUAGAAGAAAUAUUAAUUUUCUUUUUGAUGUAUAUAGAAGUUGAGAAGUUGUAAUUACAUCCUCUACAGCCAUGUACCCAAGAUUAAGUUUUCUACUGAUGUGUUAUGCAUUAUAUGUUAGCCUUCCUGUGGCCUCAUUAUGUUAGGUGAUGUUUGAAAAAUAUAUUUGAUAUUCUGAAUAUCAAAUCAAAGAGGAGCAUAAAGAAUUUUUCAGUUUUUCCACUAUAAAAAACAAAACAAACCUUUAGGGCCUAGAUAUUUUUCACAAACAAGGAAAUCAUUUGGAUUACAUGUCAGAGCAUUUAUUGCUUGAAUUAGUCAAUCAAAUAUUAAUCUAUUCAACAAACAUUUAAUGAAUGUCUACUCCAGGCAUUUUGCUAGCCCCAGGGAUAUAGAUGUAAAUAUGACUUGUUUGGGCCCUCAAAUCAGCCCCACUUCAAUAGAGAGCCACAUGAAAGCAAAUAAUUGUAAAUGUAGCAUGCUAAAUGCAAUAUUGAGGUAUGUGCUGUGGCCAGUUGCAAGCAUAGUAUAGCUUAUGGAAAUGUGGAGGGGUGUCUCCAUGGAAGCUUGCUAACUAAUCACAAAGCAACUUACAGUAAUGAAUUGCAGUUUCGUAGACUAAAAAAUGUCGUGUUGUCAUUGUCCUAGAGUUGGAUAUAUUCCUACCCUAACUUAGAACUUGAAAUUUAUCUGUCACAAAUAUCUUUCAUUCAUUAUUACAAUGUAUUAAGAUAUAAACUCUUAGUUCCAGGGUCCCACAUGGUGGGUUUGCUAAUAUCAUGGGUGGAAGUGGAUUGCAAAACUUUACAAUCGCUGCUGUGCCAUAUACUCCAAAUCUUUUACCAACUUCAAGCACAUGCAUCAACAUGCUGAAGUUACCUGAAUACCCAAGUAAAGAAAUACUCAAGGACAGACUUCUUGUGGCACUACAUUGUGGCAGCUAUGGUUACACAAUGGCAUAAUGAAGUCUGGAAAACUCAUCUGACUACUGAUGCACAAUUCAGAAUGGCAGAAGUAAUUUGGGAAAAUGUCAACAAAAAAGCAGCCUGACUGCAACCCAUAGGCAGGGCUGAUGCUUCCAAUUUAUAAAGGAUCAUCAGGUUUUCUGUUUCUCUCUUUUCCCUUUUUUGUUUUCUCUGUUUGUGAUACAAUUAGAAAAUAAAAAAUCACAGUAGAUUUUAUUUUUUAAAAUGCUAACUGAAAGUAAUAGAGACUGUCCUUUUUCAUAAUUAAUUUUAUCCAAGAUUGUAUUAAGGCAAAAUCUGAUUCUACAUUCCACCUCUGCUAUGUAACUGUCUUGUUAAAAGGGUGUUUUCUCCUAAUUUCUGAUAUAUUAUAUGAGGUCAUCCAGCUGCUAUGUUCUUUUGCAUGUAAACUGCCAUUUAUAUUUUAGAAAACUAUUGUAUAGAAUGGAUUAAGUUAGAUUAUCUAUAAAGCCACAAAUAUGUAUUUUCCCAC
Molecule: small RNA, 2674 nt
Filed under: Pongo abelii (Sumatran orangutan)
Lineage: Eukaryota; Metazoa; Chordata; Mammalia; Primates; Hominidae
Description: retained intron
Source: RNAcentral